CAGCAGCCACGGUAAUACAGAGGGUGCAAGCGUUAAUCGGAAUUACUGGGCGUAAAGCGCGCGUAGGUGGUUUGUUAAGUUGGAUGUGAAAGCCCCGGGCUCAACCUGGGAACUGCAUCCAAAACUGGCAAGCUAGAGUACGGUAGAGGGUGGUGGAAUUUCCUGUGUAGCGGUGAAAUGCGUAGAUAUAGGAAGGAACACCAGUGGCGAAGGCGACCACCUGGACUGAUACUGACACUGAGGUGCGAAAGCGUGGGGAGCAAACAGGAUUAGAUACCCGUGUAGUCCCUGUCUCUUACAC
RNAcentral lists this ribosomal RNA (301 nucleotides) under uncultured bacterium. RNAcentral's name for it is "partial 16S ribosomal RNA". It matches the Rfam family "Bacterial small subunit ribosomal RNA", at positions 509 to 809 of the family's 1533-position model. The record is from RNAcentral.